RNAcentral lists this ribosomal RNA (351 nucleotides) under Carelis transversa. Its description in RNAcentral is "partial 12S small subunit ribosomal RNA". Lineage: Eukaryota; Metazoa; Arthropoda; Insecta; Lepidoptera; Noctuidae. The record is from RNAcentral.
AAAAUUUAAAUAAAAAAUACUAAAAUAGUAGGUAAUUAUUUGUUGAAACUUAAAUAAUUUGGCGGUAUUUUAGUUCAUUUAGAGGAAUCUGUUUAAUAAUUGAUAUUCCACGAAUAAAUUUACUUAAUUUAUAAUUUUAUAUAUCGUUGUUUAAAAAAUAUUUUUUAAUAAAAUUAAUAUUUUAAAAUUAGUAUUAGAGUUUAAAUCAGAUCAAGAUGUAGAUUAUAGUUAAGAAUAUAAUGGAUUACAAUAAAUUUAUUUAAAUGAAUAUUAAUUUGUAAUAAUUGAUUGAAGGUGGAUUUAAAUGUAAUUUUAUUUAAUUUAAUAAAAUGAUUAAAAAUUAAAAUAUGU